This 328-nucleotide ribosomal RNA is filed under the name Lomentospora prolificans. RNAcentral's name for it is "Scedosporium prolificans Eukaryotic small subunit ribosomal RNA". It matches the Rfam family "Eukaryotic small subunit ribosomal RNA", at positions 1 to 333 of the family's 1831-position model. The record is from Rfam by way of RNAcentral. Lineage: Eukaryota; Fungi; Ascomycota; Sordariomycetes; Microascales; Microascaceae.
UACCUGGUUGAUUCUGCCAGUAGUCAUAUGCUUGUCUCAAAGAUUAAGCCAUGCAUGUCUAAGUAUAAGCAAUUAUACCGCGAAACUGCGAAUGGCUCAUUAUAUAAGUUAUCGUUUAUUUGAUAGCACAUUACUACAUGGAUAACUGUGGUAAUUCUAGAGCUAAUACAUGCUAAAAAUCCCGACUUCGGAAGGGAUGUAUUUAUUAGAUUAAAAGCCAACGCCCUUCGGGGCUUCCUGGUGAUUCAUAAUAACUUUUCGAAUCGCAUGGCCUUGCGCCGGCGAUGGUUCAUUCAAAUUUCUUCCCUAUCAACUUUCGAUGCGAAGG